AAAACAAUGUAAAUAUGCAAGAUAUCAACUCCCCCGAACUUGUUCUUUACUUGUCCUCAAGUAAACAUUCAAGAUCAAUUAAACAUGAGGGAAUUGAAAAUGGAAACACAUAACCAAAAGAGACACUUUCUAGCCUUCAACCCAACAUCCUAAAAGAAACAUAGCAAAUAGCAUGAGCAACUCUCUAGUACACUCUAGUUUCUCAAGGCCUAUUAAGACUCUUUUAUCUCUACACAAGGCUCAUUUUCAUCCAACCAACAAGUUCCUUAGUCAACUCUCACAUUCAUUCACACACACACAAGGUGAAUUCUUGCAAAUGGAUAUUUGAUC
This 330-nucleotide long non-coding RNA is filed under the name Brassica napus (rape). RNAcentral's name for it is "long non-coding RNA (BNAP_LNC012678)". Lineage: Eukaryota; Viridiplantae; Streptophyta; Magnoliopsida; Brassicales; Brassicaceae. The record is from RNAcentral.